Molecule: long non-coding RNA, 2032 nt
Organism: Ctenopharyngodon idella (grass carp)
Lineage: Eukaryota; Metazoa; Chordata; Actinopteri; Cypriniformes; Xenocyprididae
Exons: 2
Source: RefSeq, a predicted model, not a curated record
GUGAAAGCCUGGCGCCAGCUUGUCUGUGAGAACCUCUGGCUCAUCCAGCUGUCUGCAUCCUCUUCAAACAGAGAUGAGUGUCAGAACAACUGGAUCCAGAGUGGCGCGUUUAUGUGGAAAACUGCAGCGAACAGUGGAAACAGAGGUGUGACGUCACUGCGGUUCAAAUGGCCCUGCAUUAACACAUGCUGAUGUCCCGCGGAGCCUCUGGCGCCACCGUCUCAGCGUUUGGUGACAUUGGCAAACAUCACGGAUCAAAGGGAUUACAGUAGCAACACAAUUAACUUUGAUUGACCAGCAGUUCAAAUGCAAAUUCACACCCGGACAAGCUUAAGGCCUGAUCCACUGACUCAACUCAACAACUCAGGCACACUGAAAAUAUACUUGCACCAAUAACCUACAACUGGGCAACACUUGCACUGAUUUCUUUAUAAUGGACUAAAUUUGAAUUAUGCAUAUGCAUAAAUGUGCACGUAGGCCUGUGCAUAUUUAAUGCUGCAACAAUGUAAAUCUUAAGUUUACCACGCAAUACGGCAAUCCGAGUAUCUAUAUAUCCAGCAACUCAAUUCAAAAGUCUUCAUAGAGGCCUAAUUAUGUUUAUUUGAGGUUUCAUGAUCAAACAAAACAGCACAGAUUGUGAUUCAAUAAUAUUCGCGAUAAUCAGAAAUAAUGGCAUGUGAAGCAGCUUUGCAACAGAGGUCUGCAGUUAAUCAGGGCUUUGGCGUUAUCUGACUGUAUUUGAAUGUCUGUGAAUGAGAGACGGAGCCUUUGAAAGGAUCGUUUAGCUGGACAAUGACGAUAACGGCAUGUUGACUGUUUCCUUUAUCAAUGAUCUAUAGUGCAGGAGGCUCGAGCUCUUUGACUCGCAAUUAAAGCCUUUAUCUGAAGCGCUUUGAUCCGUCACAGAACAAUGAGGAGGAUCCGCCGCGCGCCACUGCGCCUCCGGGGGCGCGCGUUUCCUCGCCUCCGCGUGAAACUCCGAAACAAACCGCAGAGCUCGAACGCUCAUUAUUUAAUUCGGAUAAGAUAUCAUGGCUUCCAAGAAACGAGCAGAUCUGUGAAGGUCUGAAAACAAUUAAUCUCGUUUAAUGGUCAGACAGUCUCACAUCAGAGGCUCAAAAACAAAAACAUUUUCAGCAAAAAAAUAAUAAAAAAUCACGCGAACAGUGUUACUGAAUAAAAUAUGAAGGAUUGUGAGUGUGAUGAUGCUUUUUGCAUAAACAAGAAGGUCAUAUCCAGUAACUGAGAUUUCAACUGAGAGCUAUUUUGUUUACAGUUUAGUAAUACACAGGGUGAAUUGCCGUAAAGUGGGACAUAUGUAAAUACAUACCGGUGAAACUAUAUGGGUUAGACAAAGCUGAGGUGCCAUGUGAUCAAAAUCACAUAACCUCUCAAAUGUCAGGUCAUAUAUGAAGGUGGAGCAAAUCAUCAAACGGGGAGCACCUCGAAAUCCACCCAAAGCUCAAUGUUAAGGAGUAUAAGUUCAUUUUAAACAAAACAGUCCUGGUACUUUUUGAUCCAAUGUGCUUAUGAAAUGUUUGCCCAUCAAAAAUAUUAUAACUUUGUAUGUAUAAACUAUAUAUUUUAUAUUUUUUUAUAUUUUUUUAUAUUUUUUUUCCCAGUGACCCACUUUAGGAAAUGUGGUUUCAAAAAGUGGGACGGUACUUCAGUCAGUGAAAAUGUGUGGUGGGGCAUGGUUUGUGGGACAAAAAUGGUUAUUUACAGGGUUUUAGUGAUGUUAUGCAAUAAUAGAAUGAUUAAACGUAUUUAACUGCAGUUCACAGCACGUUCAUGAAUUGUGACUCAUGAAGGUUGAAUCUAGCCUAAAGUUUGUUCAAGCCGUUUUUUUUUCUUUGCAAGUUUUUUAAUUUUGCUUUUUAAUUAGGCCUAGGCUAUGUUUGUUUUGGUUGUAUGUGUUUGUUGUUAAGUAAAAUGAACUAGAGACAAUGUUAUGUUAUUUGGGUCAUUGAUGUAUAAGGUUUUUAACAGUGUAAAAAAACAUAAUGGAGAUAUAAUAAAUUUUGAAGUUUUA